AUCCUGUGACGACAUCCACUGGGAGCCGUCCUGCUGGCCACUGACGCUCUGGGAUGGAACCGAGGAUCAGGGC
Molecule: small nucleolar RNA, 73 nt
Filed under: Pelusios castaneus (West African mud turtle)
Lineage: Eukaryota; Metazoa; Chordata; Testudines; Pelomedusidae
Description: Small nucleolar RNA SNORD66 (ENSPCEG00000004424.1)
Rfam family: Small nucleolar RNA SNORD66
About the family: snoRNA HBII-142 is part of the C/D family of snoRNAs. It is the human orthologue of the mouse MBII-142 snoRNA and is predicted to guide 2'O-ribose methylation of small 18S rRNA at residue C1272.
Source: Rfam by way of RNAcentral